Molecule: transfer RNA, 89 nt
Filed under: Perca flavescens (yellow perch)
Lineage: Eukaryota; Metazoa; Chordata; Actinopteri; Perciformes; Percidae
Rfam family: tRNA
About the family: Transfer RNA (tRNA) molecules are approximately 80 nucleotides in length. Their secondary structure includes four short double-helical elements and three loops (D, anti-codon, and T loops). Further hydrogen bonds mediate the characteristic L-shaped molecular structure. tRNAs have two regions of fundamental functional importance: the anti-codon, which is responsible for specific mRNA codon recognition, and the 3' end, to which the tRNAs corresponding amino acid is attached (by aminoacyl-tRNA synthetases). tRNAs cope with the degeneracy of the genetic code in two manners: having more than one tRNA (with a specific anti-codon) for a particular amino acid; and 'wobble' base-pairing, i.e. permitting non-standard base-pairing at the 3rd anti-codon position.
Source: Rfam by way of RNAcentral
CCUUCGAUAGCUCAGUUGGUAAAGUGGUCCACUCUAGGUUGAUAAUACUAGGUAUUCUUAGGUUGCUAGUUCAAUUCUACCUUGAAGGA